ACCCCUUAAAACCUGUUACCCGCUUUCGGACUAGGUCGUUACGGCGCACGUCCUACUUCCGGAAUCCCAACAUUUGACGAAAACAUGCCUUGCUUUGCCGAGGAAGAUUAUGUUCCCCGAUUACUGCCAUGGCAUUCUUAUUCGUGGCCGAUUGAUGCACGGUCGUCGGCGCCAUUA
Molecule: ribosomal RNA, 177 nt
Filed under: uncultured beta proteobacterium
Lineage: Bacteria; Pseudomonadati; Pseudomonadota; Betaproteobacteria
Description: partial 16S ribosomal RNA
Source: RNAcentral